AAGGGAACUGCGAUUGGGUGACAGCUAUGUGGUCGUUGGUUAACUUGCAGAAGGUAGCUCUCAGUUUACUCAAAUCCAGGGUGAUCUGAAGGAACUAUGAUCAGGUGACAGGUAUGUGGUCGUUGGUUAACUUGCAGAAGGUAGCUCUCAGUUUACUCAAAUCCAGGGUGAUCUGAAGGGAACUGCGAUCAGGUGACAGGUAUGUGGUCGUUGGUUAACUUGCAGAAGGUAGCUCUCAGUUUACUCAAAUCCAGGGUGAUCUGAAGGGAACUGCGAUCAGGUGACAGGUAUGUGGUCGUUGGUUAACUUGCAGAAGGUAGCUCCCAGGUUACUCAAAUCCAGGGUGAUCUGAAGGGAACUGCGAUCAGGUGACAGGUAUGUGCAUGUUGUGGGACAGCCAUGAUGCAAGAGCUGAGGCAGCUCCAGAUAUACUCCAACUCCGGGCGGCACAGAGGUUAGCUAUGCUGUGACUGGGUGACUGGUAUGUGCAUAUUGCAGGAUAUCUGUGGUGCAAGGAAGCUUCCUGGACAGGGUAGGAUAUCAUUUUAGGAUAUCACUUGACAGUGUUGUACAAUGAGAAAUUACUAUCACAACAAUGCUUCUGAAGUAGUCCCAUCUCAUCCCACCUCACAAGUUCCAUCACAAGAGGACAGACCAUUGAGUAAAGGGAGAGACAUACUGUAAAGGGUUACUCAAUAGAAAUUACAGAUGUUGAUUCAAUGAGAGAGCUCUCAAAAAAUGACAAGAUCUCAACGGAAAAGGAUGGUGAUCUUGAAAGAGAUUGAUGGGGUUUCUUGAAAGAGAAUGGAAUACUGAUCUCAUGAUGCACAUCUCAAAAGAAAUGACAAGGUUCUGAUGGAUAAGGAUCCCAUCUCACAGAGUAAGGAUGGGUUCAUGAACGAGAAGAAUGCACAAAAAAGGAUAAAUAAGAAUGAGAUCAUAAUGGAUAAGGAUUCAAUCUAAAUGGAUAAGGAUGUGAUCCCAAUGGAUAAGGAUGCAAUCCUAGGGAAUAAGGAUGCGCUCCUGAUGGAUAAGGAUAUUAUCCGAUGGAUAAGGACGGGGACAUGAGCAAGAAAAUGUUGGGAGCAUUGAUAGUGUCAAGGCGACAGAACAGCUUCAGCUCUGAAACUUCAUGGUAAUGUUUCCUCAUUAUGGUGACGUGUUUGUGUUGUGUGCCCCACGAUUGAGGAUAAUGGAUUACACAAGCCCCCCCGCUGCUGCUGCUGCCGCUGUCAGAAUUCCAAGGGAGGUAACCUCUGACUCAACAGGAAACGUCCUACAGACAAUCUAGAAGCAGAGAGAAGACUAAAACUGAAUGACACACGGAGAGGCGAUCCCCGACAAGACCGGUGCCAGCAGAAGGGGCCAUGUCUUGCCACCGAUCUAGCGAGUCUCGUCCCACCAACGAAGGCCAACAGCAUGAUGGCAAAUAGCAGCAAGUGGCAGUGACAAAG
Molecule: long non-coding RNA, 1454 nt
Organism: Haliotis rubra (blacklip abalone)
Lineage: Eukaryota; Metazoa; Mollusca; Gastropoda; Lepetellida; Haliotidae
Exons: 3
Source: RefSeq, a predicted model, not a curated record